This 442-nucleotide ribosomal RNA is filed under the name uncultured bacterium. RNAcentral's name for it is "partial 16S ribosomal RNA". It matches the Rfam family "Bacterial small subunit ribosomal RNA", at positions 338 to 795 of the family's 1533-position model. The record is from RNAcentral.
CCUACGGGCGGCAGCAGUGGGGAAUAUUGCACAAUGGGCGAAAGCCUGAUGCAGCAACGCCGCGUGAAGGAAGAAGGGUUUCGGCUCGUAAACUUCUAUUAACAGGGACGAAAGAAAUGACGGUACCUGAAUAAGAAGCCCCGGCUAACUACGUGCCAGCAGCCGCGGUAAUACGUAGGGGGCAAGCGUUAUCCGGAUUUAUUGGGUUUAAAGGGUGCGUAGGCGGAAUAUCAAGUCAGCGGUAAAAAUUCGGGGCUCACCCCCGUCGUGCCGUUGAAACUGAUGUUCUUGAGUGGGCGAGAAGUAUGCGGAAUGCGUGGUGUAGCGGUGAAAUGCAUAGAUAUCACGCAGAACUCCGAUUGCGAAGGCAGCAUACCGGCGCCCAACUGACGCUGAAGCACGAAAGCGUGGGUAUCGAACAGGAUUAGAUACCCGUGUAGUC